AGCAGCCGCGGUAAUUCCAGCUCCAAUAGCGUAUAUUAAAGUUGUUGCAGUUAAAAAGCUCGUAGUUGAAUUUCGGGAUCAAAGGAUCGGUCAUGCCUUGGUAUGUACUGGUUUUAUUGGUUCUCACCUUCUAAAGAACCAUGAUGUCAUUCAUUUGAUGUUAUGGGGAAUUAGGACUGUUACCUUGAAAAAAUUAGAGUGUUUAAAGCAAGCUUACGCUUGAAUACAUUAGCAUGGAAUAAUGAAAUAGGACAUCAGAUUCUAUUUUGUUGGUUUCUAGGAUCGAUGUAAUGAUUAAUAGGGAUAGUUGGGGGCAUUAGUAUUCAAUUGUCAGAGGUGAAAUUCUUGGAUUUAUUGAAGACUAACUACUGCGAAAGCAUUUGCCAAGGAUGUUUUCAUUAAUCAAGAACGAAAGUUAGGGGAUCGAAGACGAUCAGAUACCGUCGUAGUCUUAACCAUAAACUAUGCCGACUAGGGAUCGGAUGAUGUUAAUUUUUUAAUGACUCAUUCGGCACCUUACG
This 521-nucleotide ribosomal RNA is filed under the name uncultured Glomeraceae. RNAcentral describes it as "SSU rRNA". It matches the Rfam family "Eukaryotic small subunit ribosomal RNA", at positions 569 to 1092 of the family's 1831-position model. Lineage: Eukaryota; Fungi; Glomeromycota; Glomeromycetes; Glomerales; Glomeraceae. The record is from RNAcentral.